GGCGACGAUUACAAGGUAUAUCCAUUGAGGGCGAUGAUGAACUUCUCGAAGUCACUAAAGAAGCACCUAAGAGAGAUGAAUGGAUGACGGCAUUACCUCCUGAAAGGAAACCAGGUAUGACCAGGCAAUCAACAACAUUUAGCAAGACAACUAAAGAAGGACGAGGUGAUACUAGCAUUUGGACCAACAGCCCCCUCGACAGAGCUGAAAAAGCAAAACAGAAUUAUUUAGAGGCUUACAAUAAUACCAUAGCACUUGCCGAUACGGAUGACACAAGGAAGACGUCUAAUUCAGAUGCUGGUUUGGUUGACAAAUACAACUCUGCCAAGCGCUCGGUAUCUCUAAUGCAAAAGCAUCAAGAGGAGACCAGCCGUCCGAAAAAGAAAUCCAAACAAAGAGAGAAAGAAGAGUGGGGUGGGAAGCACCCUUGGAAACCUUGGGAUCGUGAAAAAGAUCUGGUUGCUGGAAGGAAGGAUAUCAAGCUUGAUUCAGAGAACAUGACACAGGGAUUGUCCUCUCGCUUCUCUUCGGGACCUACACAGCGGAAUUUCUUGUAGAAGCUGCUGAGUCGCCGGUGAGUCUUGAAGCGUGUUUCUAUUUUAUUUUCUGUUUAUCAGGUGGUAAUUGCAAUCAAC
This 635-nucleotide unclassified non-coding RNA is filed under the name Hevea brasiliensis (rubber tree). Lineage: Eukaryota; Viridiplantae; Streptophyta; Magnoliopsida; Malpighiales; Euphorbiaceae. The record is from RNAcentral.